CCACUAGCUCUUAUUGUGAAAAUAAAAUUUUUGGUGCGCUUUCCCUUUGAAUGAGUAGAUCUUCCAGCCCCC
RNAcentral lists this transfer RNA (72 nucleotides) under Glycine max (soybean). RNAcentral's name for it is "tRNA-Gln". Lineage: Eukaryota; Viridiplantae; Streptophyta; Magnoliopsida; Fabales; Fabaceae. The record is from RNAcentral.